GACGAACGCUGGCGGCGUGCCUAAUACAUGCAAGUAGAACGCUGAAGGAGGAGCUUGCUUCUCUGGAUGAGUUGCGAACGGGUGAGUAACGCGUAGGUAACCUGCCUGGUAGCGGGGGAUAACUAUUGGAAACGAUAGCUAAUACCGCAUAAUAUUGACUAUUGCAUGAUAGUCAGUUGAAAGGUGCAACUGCACCACUACCAGAUGGACCUGCGUUGUAUUAGCUAGUUGGUGGGGUAACGGCUCACCAAGGCGACGAUACAUAGCCGACCUGAGAGGGGGGUCGGCCACACUGGGACUGGGACACGGCCCAGACUCCUACGGGAGGCAGCAGUAGGGAAUCUUCGGCAAUGGACGGAAGUCUGACCGAGCAACGCCGCGUGAGUGAAGAAGGUUUUCGGAUCGUAAAGAUCUGUUGUAAGAGAAGAACGAGUGUGAGAGUGGAAAGCUCACACUGUGACGGUAUCUUACCAGAAAGGGACGGCUAACUACGUG
This 495-nucleotide ribosomal RNA is filed under the name uncultured bacterium. Its description in RNAcentral is "partial 16S ribosomal RNA". It matches the Rfam family "Bacterial small subunit ribosomal RNA", at positions 28 to 507 of the family's 1533-position model. The record is from RNAcentral.